RNAcentral lists this ribosomal RNA (554 nucleotides) under Equus caballus (horse). RNAcentral's name for it is "partial large subunit ribosomal RNA". It matches the Rfam family "Bacterial large subunit ribosomal RNA", at positions 1816 to 2597 of the family's 2925-position model. The record is from RNAcentral. Lineage: Eukaryota; Metazoa; Chordata; Mammalia; Perissodactyla; Equidae.
CACCUCUAGCAUUUCCAGUAUUAGAGGCACUGCCUGCCCAGUGACAUCUGUUUAAACGGCCGCGGUAUCCUAACCGUGCAAAGGUAGCAUAAUCACUUGUUCCCUAAAUAGGGACUUGUAUGAAUGGCCACACGAGGGUUUUACUGUCUCUUACUUCCAAUCAGUGAAAUUGACCUUCCCGUGAAGAGGCGGGAAUGACUAAAUAAGACGAGAAGACCCUAUGGAGCUUUAAUUAACUGAUUCACAAAAAACAACACACAAACCUAACCUUCAGGGACAACAAAACUUUUGAUUGAAUCAGCAAUUUCGGUUGGGGUGACCUCGGAGAACAAAACAACCUCCGAGUGAUUUAAAUCCAGACUAACCAGUCAAAAUAUAUAAUCACUUAUUGAUCUAAACCAUUGAUCAACGGAACAAGUUACCCUAGGGAUAACAGCGCAAUUCUAUUCCAGAGUCCAUAUCGACAAUUAGGGUUUACGACCUCGAUGUUGGAUCAAGACAUCCUAAUGGUGCAACCGCUAUUAAGGGUUCGUUUGUUCAACGAUUAAAGUCUU